This 253-nucleotide ribosomal RNA is filed under the name uncultured bacterium. RNAcentral's name for it is "partial 16S ribosomal RNA". It matches the Rfam family "Bacterial small subunit ribosomal RNA", at positions 524 to 776 of the family's 1533-position model. The record is from RNAcentral.
UACGGAGGAUCCAAGCGUUAUCCGGAUUUAUUGGGUUUAAAGGGUGCGUAGGCGGCCUGUUAAGUCAGGGGUGAAAGACGGUGGCUCAACCAUCGCAGUGCCCUUGAUACUGAUGGGCUUGAAUAGACUAGAGGUAGGCGGAAUGUGACAAGUAGCGGUGAAAUGCAUAGAUAUGUCACAGAACACCGAUUGCGAAGGCAGCUUACUAUGGUCUGAUUGACGCUGAGGCACGAAAGCGUGGGGAUCGAACAGG